Molecule: transfer RNA, 85 nt
Filed under: Xylaria sp. FL1777
Lineage: Eukaryota; Fungi; Ascomycota; Sordariomycetes; Xylariales; Xylariaceae
Description: tRNA-Pro
Rfam family: tRNA
About the family: Transfer RNA (tRNA) molecules are approximately 80 nucleotides in length. Their secondary structure includes four short double-helical elements and three loops (D, anti-codon, and T loops).
Source: RNAcentral
GGCUCAAUGGUCUAGUGGUAUGAUUCUCGCUUUGGGUCUAAUUCUGAAUUGCGAGAGGCCCCGGGUUCGAAUCCCGGUUGAGCCC